RNAcentral lists this microRNA precursor (105 nucleotides) under Medicago truncatula (barrel medic). Its description in RNAcentral is "miRNA gene36685". It matches the Rfam family "MIR2587 microRNA precursor family". The record is from RNAcentral. Lineage: Eukaryota; Viridiplantae; Streptophyta; Magnoliopsida; Fabales; Fabaceae.
UUGUGAUGUCAUGGUCAUUGUUGACCUUCAUAUAACCUCUGCAAUUGCUUUGCAGUUUAUGCUGGGGUUAUAUAACGGUCUAAUAGAGACCUUUGACAUAAAAAA